AUGAACGCUGGCGGCGUGCCUAAUACAUGCAAGUCGAGCGAACAGACGAGGAGCUUGCUCCUCUGACGUUAGCGGCGGACGGGUGAGUAACACGUGGAUAACCUACCUAUAAGACUGGGAUAACUUCGGGAAACCGGAGCUAAUACCGGAUAAUAUAUUGAACCGCAUGGUUCAAUAGUGAAAGACGGUUUUGCUGUCACUUAUAGAUGGAUCCGCGCCGCAUUAGCUAGUUGGUAAGGUAACGGCUUACCAAGGCAACGAUGCGUAGCCGACCUGAGAGGGUGAUCGGCCACACUGGAACUGAGACACGGUCCAGACUCCUACGGGAGGCAGCAGUAGGGAAUCUUCCGCAAUGGGCGAAAGCCUGACGGAGAAACGCCGCGUGAGUGAUGAAGGUCUUCGGAUCGUAAAACUCUGUUAUUAGGGAAGAACAAAUGUGUAAGUAACUAUGCACGUCUUGACGGUACCUAAUCAGAAAGCCACGGCUAACUACGUG
This 496-nucleotide ribosomal RNA is filed under the name uncultured bacterium. Its description in RNAcentral is "partial 16S ribosomal RNA". It matches the Rfam family "Bacterial small subunit ribosomal RNA", at positions 29 to 507 of the family's 1533-position model. The record is from RNAcentral.